AUCUAUGGCAUGAUACUCUGAACAAGCCCGAUCCCAUCUGAUCUCAGAAGCUAAGCAGGGUCGGGUCUGGUUAGUACUUGGAUGGGAGACCACCUAGGAAGACCAGGUGCUGUAGGCA
Molecule: ribosomal RNA, 118 nt
Filed under: Pteropus alecto (black flying fox)
Lineage: Eukaryota; Metazoa; Chordata; Mammalia; Chiroptera; Pteropodidae
Source: RNAcentral